AUAUCCUCAAUGUAAUCCAGCACCUGCAUGCAUGUCCUUUAUUAGGUUAAGAACAAAGCACCAAUAGAAACUCAAGACUCGUCAAAAAUCAGUAUCCCAGUUUGAUACCUUAAAAUAUGGUUCCACCAUAACUGUGUGGAAAAUCAUCAAGCCAUAUGGCAAAAUCUUAAAUCUAACAUUUAAAACCUAUAUCCAAAAUCAUAAAGCUAGCAUUUAAACUAAAAUCCGCAUGGAAUUUAAAACAUGCCUGAAACUGUUUUGAUUUAUUCCACCAAUUGUCAAUCUCAAAAGGAAUUAGGCACUCACAAAUAGAAUCCAAAUGAAAAAUAAGAAUUUAGAAAGGUAAACUUACCCACAAGCGCUGCAAACUUUGA
This 374-nucleotide unclassified non-coding RNA is filed under the name Hevea brasiliensis (rubber tree). Lineage: Eukaryota; Viridiplantae; Streptophyta; Magnoliopsida; Malpighiales; Euphorbiaceae. The record is from RNAcentral.